GGGGACGAGUGGCUUCGACAGGGGAAAUGGGCGACCCAGGAUUGCAGGCCGAGGUGCCAUCACCCUCGUAAAACAGGCGGCAAAAAAAUAACUGGCGACAGAAUGCCUGUAGCGGCCUAACUUAGCUUUAGGCCACGUUCAACCUUGCCUCUCCCCGACAGGGAAGGAUUGGGCGACGAAAAGUUGGGGUGCGGUGAUUCCGAUGGCGAUAGGGGUUGCCUAAGUUUAGUCGUCUGGCCUGGCCGAAUUCCGCCAGUUGAGGGCAGCCAGGCGAGAUAAAAAGCUGGCUAAGCUUGUAGGACAUCCUGGACGGAUUUCCUUUGGACGGGGAGUUCAACUCUCCCCCGUCUCCACCA
This 356-nucleotide transfer-messenger RNA is filed under the name Chloroflexi bacterium CG07_land_8_20_14_0_80_51_10. It matches the Rfam family "transfer-messenger RNA". From Rfam's summary of the family: Bacterial tmRNA, also known as 10Sa RNA or SsrA, is named for its dual tRNA and mRNA-like properties. Its role is to liberate the mRNA from a stalled ribosome. To accomplish this part of the tmRNA is used as a reading frame that ends in a translation stop signal. The record is from RNAcentral. Lineage: Bacteria; Bacillati; Chloroflexota.